GACGAACGCUGGCGGCGUGCUUAACACAUGCAAGUCGAGCGGACAGACCAGUUUGGGGGUACUCGAGCGGCGACCGGGGGCGUAAGAGUAGCGUAACCUGAACUUGACUUCGGGACAACUACAGGAAAGUGGAGCCAUUACCGGAUAGGAAUACUUGCUGCAAGGUGGGGGUUGAAAAGCUGAAGAGGUUUUGGAUGUGUUCGCGGUAUAUCUGCUUGUUGGGGUGGCAGUGGCUUACAAAGGCGUUGACGGGUAGCGGGCCUGCGAGGGCGACCGGCCACAAUGGGACUGAGAGACGGCCGAGACACGUACUGGAGCGAGCAGUGGGGAAGCAUGCAGAAUGGGCGUAAGCCUGAUGCAGCUAGGCCUCGUGCGGGAAGACGGCCUUCGGGUGGUAAACCGCAUGCGGAAGGGGCGAUGCAUGUGGUGACGGUACCUGCAGAAGAAGCACCGGCUAACUACGUG
Molecule: ribosomal RNA, 465 nt
Filed under: uncultured bacterium
Lineage: Bacteria
Description: partial 16S ribosomal RNA
Rfam family: Bacterial small subunit ribosomal RNA
Source: RNAcentral